UGCCCAGCAACUCCUAUCCCUAUCUCCUCGCGGUACUGGCCGGGGUACGAGUAACCUUAGGGAAGAUCGGGUAACCAACCCCCGGUGGGAACUUUGGUCGUAUGCUGACAGGGAAGG
Molecule: non-coding RNA, 117 nt
Organism: Aedes aegypti (yellow fever mosquito)
Lineage: Eukaryota; Metazoa; Arthropoda; Insecta; Diptera; Culicidae
Source: Rfam